GUCUCCAGCCAUGCCACCCUGAACAGGCCGAUUCUGUUUGAUCUUGGAAUUUAAUCAGUGUCGGGCCUGGUUAGUACUUGGGAUACCACCUAGGAAGACCAGAUGCUGUAGGCG
This 114-nucleotide ribosomal RNA is filed under the name Pteropus alecto (black flying fox). The record is from RNAcentral. Lineage: Eukaryota; Metazoa; Chordata; Mammalia; Chiroptera; Pteropodidae.